UGAGGAAUAUUGGACAAUGGGUGAGAGCCUGAUCCAGCCAUCCCGCGUGAAGGACGAUGGCCCUAUGGGUUGUAAACUUCUUUUGUAUAGGGAUAAACCUUUCCACGUGUGGAAAGCUGAAGGUACUAUACGAAUAAGCACCGGCUAACUCCGUGCCAGCAGCCGCGGUAAUACGGAGGGUGCAAGCGUUAUCCGGAUUUAUUGGGUUUAAAGGGUCCGUAGGCGGAUCUGUAAGUCAGUGGUGAAAUCUCAUAGCUUAACUAUGAAACUGCCAUUGAUACUGCAGGUCUUGAGUAAAGUAGAAGUGGCUGGAAUAAGUAGUGUAGCGGUGAAAUGCAUAGAUAUUACUUAGAACACCAAUUGCGAAGGCAGGUCACUAUGUUUUAACUGACGCUGAUGGACGAAAGCGUGGGGAGCGAACAGG
This 424-nucleotide ribosomal RNA is filed under the name Acidobacteriota bacterium. RNAcentral's name for it is "Acidobacteria bacterium partial 16S ribosomal RNA". It matches the Rfam family "Bacterial small subunit ribosomal RNA", at positions 355 to 776 of the family's 1533-position model. The record is from RNAcentral. Lineage: Bacteria; Pseudomonadati; Acidobacteriota.